This 546-nucleotide ribosomal RNA is filed under the name Triticum aestivum (bread wheat). RNAcentral describes it as "partial small subunit ribosomal RNA". The record is from RNAcentral. Lineage: Eukaryota; Viridiplantae; Streptophyta; Magnoliopsida; Poales; Poaceae.
AUGAUCAUACUGUCAACCACUGCUAGCUUCGACUCUUGCAGGCAGAUAAUUGCCGGGCUAUGCAACAGUACAACAUUUCUGACCACCCCACGACGGGCAGGGUUGUUAAGCCCUCGAACAUUCCAUGCUAAGAUAUUUGCGCUAAUCAUAAGAACUCAAUCGACAGAAAACAACAACAACAACAACAACAGAAACAGAGCAGCAUCAGGUACGCCGCCCCUUCCGGGCGUUCCUAACGGAGGCAGACUUGGCCAGAGCAGAGAGGGCAUCGAUUUGCCUAUCAGUCAGAGGCUUCUUGAAGGUAAGCUUGUACCUCUCGAGGGUCUCCUCCUCUUCUUCCUCUCCAGGCUCGGCAAUGGUGAGCCCUCUCUUUCCGACAAGGACUCGUCGGGCCAACCGCAGCGAAGUGUUGCCCCCUCCACUGAGGGCCUCCUUCCUUCCCUGCAGUCUGUAGCUACGCCUGGUCGCCGUUGCUGGUGGGCGUCGGGCGCGCCUUUGCUUGGUCAACGGCGGAGGGGAUCUGGGUCCAGCAAGAAGCGGCCCUGA